Molecule: long non-coding RNA, 1468 nt
Filed under: Sus scrofa (pig)
Lineage: Eukaryota; Metazoa; Chordata; Mammalia; Artiodactyla; Suidae
Description: lncRNA (ENSSSCG00040004254.1)
Source: RNAcentral
CAUUCUGUUCUGUGUGCUCCUGCUGAAAACUGACGUCGGCUAAGGCUGCAGCAGGUUUCUGGAGGACCCCCGGACCUCAGCAUGCAGAGUCCCUGGGCCAAGGAUCGAACCUGUGCCACAGCAGUGACAAUGCCAGAUCUUUAAUCUGCUGAGCCACCAGGGAACUCUAGAUUCCCUGCUUUCUUUUAGAUAUAUACCUAAGAGUGGAAUUGCUAGGUAUGGUAGUUGUAUGUAGUAAUAUUUGUAACAUAUGGUAGUUGAAUCUUGUAGUAUUUGUAAUGUAUGGUAGUUGUAUGUUGUAACAUUUGUAACAUAUGGUAGUUGUAUAUUGUAACAUUUGUAACAUAUGGUAGUUGUAUGUUGUAACAUUUUGAGGAGCUGCCCAGCUGUUUUCCACCAGGCACUCUACCAGCAAUGCAUGAGGGUUCCAAUUUCUCCACCUCUUCAUGAAUCCUUGUUAUUUUCUGUGUGUGUUUAAAUUAUUAUUUUUAUUAUAGUAAUUCUAGUAAAAAAUAUAGUGAUAUCUCAUUGUGGUUUUGAUUUACAUUUCCAUAAUAACUUAUGAUGUUGAGCAUCUUUGCAUGUGCUUAUUGGUCAUUUGUUUAUCUUUGGAGAAAUGUCUACUCAUGCCUUUGCCUGUUUUUUUAAAAAAACUGAACUAUGGCUGAUUUACAAUAUUGUGUUAGUUUCAGGUGUACAGCAAAGUGAUUCAGUUAUACAUAUAGCAUGUAACGUAUAUAACAUAUGUAUAGUUAUACAUAGCUCUGCAUAUCCCUUAGUUUUGUGGGGAUUUGAGGGGGCCCCACAAUAAUGAAACUAACAGCACUAAUGGCCUGAACCUAGCCAGAACCCAGAUUGGGUCUUGAACCCCCAGUUUUUAAAUUAUACUCACUCACCUGGUGUCUGGACUUACUGAGAUUGUUUCUUUAUGUCUCUGCGCAGAAAGAAUUCAGCGAGAGACAAAGUGAUAGGCAAGAAAUUGAUUUAUUAAGAUGGGACGCUUGUGAGAGAUGCAAGCAGGCAAGCAAGGAGGCUCUGCCCCCAGUAUUAGGUGGGCUACAGUUUUAUCAUCCAAGGGGAGCGGAGGUCAGAAAAAACCACUUCUUCUUCCUCUUUCUCAGAGUAGUAGCUCCUCCUUGGUAUCUGGUAAGAGAGUAUUUGACCCUAUAAGGUCAAACUAGGACUGGCCUGGUGCUUAUUCAAAUCAGCAGAAGGGGAGUUCCCAUUGCGGCAAAGUGGAACAAAUCUGACUAGGAACCAUGAGGCUGGCCUCCCUCAGUAAGUUAAGGAUCUGGUGUUGCAGUGAGCUGUGGUGUAGUUUGCAGACACGGCUUGGAUCCCACGUUGCUCUAGCUAUGGUGAAGCCCAAAGCUAUAGCUCCAGUUGGACGCCUAGCCUGGGAACCUCCAUAUGCUGGGGGUGCGGCCCUAAAAAACAGCAAAAAAAGAAAGAAAGAAAAAAAAAAAAA